This 67-nucleotide transfer RNA is filed under the name Marmota monax (woodchuck). RNAcentral describes it as "tRNA.Ala". The record is from RNAcentral. Lineage: Eukaryota; Metazoa; Chordata; Mammalia; Rodentia; Sciuridae.
GGAUUGUGGCUCAGCGGUAGAGCGCUCGCCUAGCCCGUGCGGGACCUGGGUUCAAUUCUCAGCACCA